UGGACAUAUUGUGAUGGAGCCUUUGUUUUUCUCUGUGUUGUAUUUAGAGUGUUUCCUGUUGGUCCUUUGCUUGAGGUGGAAAGACUUGAAGCCAGUGAAGUGGUCUGGAUCCACGCCCUGGUCCAGUUCCAGAGGAAAGCAGAUGAGCCCAAGGAACUCUGGACCCCCAUAGAUG
Notolabrus celidotus (New Zealand spotty) is the source of this 175-nucleotide long non-coding RNA. RefSeq lists it as uncharacterized. The record is from RefSeq and is a predicted model, not a curated record. The transcript is spliced from 3 exons. Lineage: Eukaryota; Metazoa; Chordata; Actinopteri; Labriformes; Labridae.